AUAGACGUUAGCUCAGUGGUUAGAGCACAGGCCUCUGGCUCUCGGGUCCGCGAGUUCGAGUCCCGUCGUAUACU
Molecule: transfer RNA, 74 nt
Filed under: Trichomalopsis sarcophagae
Lineage: Eukaryota; Metazoa; Arthropoda; Insecta; Hymenoptera; Pteromalidae
Description: tRNA-OTHER
Source: RNAcentral